UGUUUCGGCUAGGGGGUCAUCCCGACUUACCAACCCGAUGCAAACUACGAAUACCGAAGAAUGUUAUCACGGGAGACACACGGCGGGUGCUAACGUCCGUCGUGAAGAGGGAAACAACCCAGACCGCCAGCUAAGGUCCCAAAGUCAUGGUUAAGUGGGAAACGAUGUGGGAAGGCACAGACAGCCAGGAUGUUGGCUUAGAAGCAGCCAUCAUUUAAAGAAAGCGUAAUAGCUCACUGGUCGAGUCGGCCUGCGCGGAAGAUGUAACGGGGCUAAACCAUGCACCGAAGCUGCGGCAGCGACACUAUGUGUUGUUGGGUAGGGGAGCGUUCUGUAAGCCUGCGAAGGUGUGCUGUGAGGCAUGCUGGAGGUAUCAGAAGUGCGAAUGCUGACAUAAGUAACGAUAAAGCGGGUGAAAAGCCCGCUCGCCGGAAGACCAAGGGUUCCUGUCCAACGUUAAUCGGGGCAGGGUGAGUCGACCCCUAAGGCGAGGCCGAAAGGCGUAGUCGAUGGGAAACAGGUUAAUAUUCCUGUACUUGGUGUUACUGCGAAGGGGGGACGGAGAAGGCUAUGUUAGCCGGGCGACGGUUGUCCCGGUUUAAGCAUGUAGGCUGGUUAUCCAGGCAAAUCCGGAUAACCAAGGCUGAGGUGUGAUGACGAGGCACUACGGUGCUGAAGUAACAAAUGCCCUGCUUCCAGGAAAAGCCUCUAAGCAUCAGGUAACAUUAAAUCGUACCCCAAACCGACACAGGUGGUCAGGUAGAGAAUACCAAGGCGCUUGAGAGAACUCGGGUGAAGGAACUAGGCAAAAUGGUGCCGUAACUUCGGGAGAAGGCACGCUGGUGUGUAGGUGAAGCCCCUGCGGGUGGAGCUGAGACCAGUCGAAGAUACCAGCUGGCUGCAACUGUUUAUUAAAAACACAGCACUGUGCAAACACGAAAGUGGACGUAUACGGUGUGACGCCUGCCCGGUGCCGGAAGGUUAAUUGAUGGGGUUAUCCGUAAGGAGAAGCUCUUGAUCGAAGCCCCGGUAAACGGCGGCCGUAACUAUAACGGUCCUAAGGUAGCGAAAUUCCUUGUCGGGUAAGUUCCGACCUGCACGAAUGGCGUAAUGAUGGCCAGGCUGUCUCCACCCGAGACUCAGUGAAAUUGAACUCGCUGUGAAGAUGCAGUGUACCCGCGGCAAGACGGAAAGACCCCGUGAACCUUUACUAUAGCUUGACACUGAACAUUGAGCCUUGAUGUGUAGGAUAGGUGGGAGGCUUUGAAGCGUGGACGCCAGUCUGCGUGGAGCCAACCUUGAAAUACCACCCUUUAAUGUUUGAUGUUCUAACGUUGGCCCCUGACCGGGGUUGCGGACAGUGUCUGGUGGGUAGUUUGACUGGGGCGGUCUCCUCCCAAAGCGUAACGGAGGAGCACGAAGGUUAGCUAAUCCUGGUCGGACAUCAGGAGGUUAGUGCAAUGGCAUAAGCUAGCUUGACUGCGAGCGUGACGGCGCGAGCAGGUGCGAAAGCAGGUCAUAGUGAUCCGGUGGUUCUGAAUGGAAGGGCCAUCGCUCAACGGAUAAAAGGUACUCCGGGGAUAACAGGCUGAUACCGCCCAAGAGUUCAUAUCGACGGCGGUGUUUGGCACCUCGAUGUCGGCUCAUCACAUCCUGGGGCUGAAGUAGGUCCCAAGGGUAUGGCUGUUCGCCAUUUAAAGUGGUACGCGAGCUGGGUUUAGAACGUCGUGAGACAGUUCGGUCCCUAUCUGCCGUGGGCGCUGGAGAAUUGAGGGGGGCUGCUCCUAGUACGAGAGGACCGGAGUGGACGCAUCACUGGUGUUCGGGUUGUCAUGCCAAUGGCACUGCCCGGUAGCUAAAUGCGGAAGAGAUAAGUGCUGAAAGCAUCUAAGCACGAAACUUGCCCCGAGAUGAGUUCUCCCUGAGACUU
Molecule: ribosomal RNA, 1930 nt
Filed under: Klebsiella pneumoniae
Lineage: Bacteria; Pseudomonadati; Pseudomonadota; Gammaproteobacteria; Enterobacterales; Enterobacteriaceae
Description: partial 23S ribosomal RNA
Rfam family: Bacterial large subunit ribosomal RNA
Source: RNAcentral